UACAGAGGUCUCGAGCGUUGUUCGGAUUCAUUGGGCGUAAAGGGUGCGUAGGUGGCGGGGGUAAGUCAGGUGUGAAAUCUCGGAGCUCAACUCCGAAACUGCACUUGAUACUGCCUUGCUCGAGUACUGGAGAGGAGAUUGGAAUUUACGGUGUAGCAGUGAAAUGCGUAGAUAUCGUAAGGAAGACCAGUGGCGAAGGCGAAUCUCUGGACAGUUACUGACACUGAGGCACGAAGGCCAGGGGAGCAAACGGG
This 254-nucleotide ribosomal RNA is filed under the name uncultured bacterium. Its description in RNAcentral is "partial 16S ribosomal RNA". It matches the Rfam family "Bacterial small subunit ribosomal RNA", at positions 524 to 776 of the family's 1533-position model. The record is from RNAcentral.